Molecule: ribosomal RNA, 722 nt
Filed under: uncultured Methanosarcinaceae archaeon
Lineage: Archaea; Methanobacteriati; Methanobacteriota; Methanomicrobia; Methanosarcinales; Methanosarcinaceae
Description: SSU rRNA
Rfam family: Archaeal small subunit ribosomal RNA
Source: RNAcentral
AACCCCGGGAAACUGGGGAUAAUUCCGGAUAACGCACAUAUGCUGGAAUGCUUUAUGCGUAAAAUGGAUUCGUCUGCCCAAGGAUGGGUCUGCGGCCUAUCAGGUAGUAGUGGGUGUAAUGUACCUACUAGCCAACAACGGGUACGGGUUGUGAGAGCAAGAGCCCGGAGAUGGAUUCUGAGACAUGAAUCCAGGCCCUACGGGGCGCAGCAGGCGCGAAAACUUUACAAUGCGGGAAACCGUGAUAAGGGGACACCGAGUGCCAGCAUCAUAUGCUGGCUGUCCAGGUGUGUAAAAUACACCUGUCAGCAAGGGCCGGGCAAGACCGGUGCCAGCCGCCGCGGUAACACCGGCGGCCCGAGUGGUGAUCGUGAUUAUUGGGUCUAAAGGGUCCGUAGCCGGUUUGGUCAGUCCUCCGGGAAAUCUGACGGCUUAACCGUUAGGCUUUCGGGGGAUACUGCCAGGCUUGGAACCGGGAGAGGUAAGAGGUACUACAGGGGUAGGAGUGAAAUCUUGUAAUCCCUGUGAGACCACCUGUGGCGAAGGCGUCUUACCAGAACGGGUUCGACGGUGAGGGACGAAAGCUGGGGGCACGAACCGGAUUAGAUACCCGGGUAGUCCCAGCCGUAAACGAUGCUCGCUAGGUGUCAGGCAUGGCGCGACCGUGUCUGGUGCCGCAGGGAAGCCGUGAAGCGAGCCACCUGGGACGUCCGCCCGCAAGG